UUACUUACCUGGAUGGGGUCUAUGGAUGAUCAUGAAGGUCCAUGGCCUAAGAUUGUGACCUCCAUUGCACUUAGGAGGGGUGCUUUUCUAAGAUACAUUAUAAUUUGUUGGGGGCCUGUGUUCAUGCGGCCUAUUC
RNAcentral lists this small nuclear RNA (136 nucleotides) under Trifolium pratense (red clover). Its description in RNAcentral is "snRNA U1". It matches the Rfam family "U1 spliceosomal RNA". From Rfam's summary of the family: U1 is a small nuclear RNA (snRNA) component of the spliceosome (involved in pre-mRNA splicing). Its 5' end forms complementary base pairs with the 5' splice junction, thus defining the 5' donor site of an intron. There are significant differences in sequence and secondary structure between metazoan and yeast U1 snRNAs, the latter being much longer (568 nucleotides as compared to 164 nucleotides in human). The record is from RNAcentral. Lineage: Eukaryota; Viridiplantae; Streptophyta; Magnoliopsida; Fabales; Fabaceae.